GAUGAACGCUGGCGGCGUGCCUAAUACAUGCAAGUCGAGCGAACAGACGAGGAGCUUGCUCCUCUAACGUUAGCGGCGGACGGGUGAGUAACACGUGGAUAACCUACCUAUAAGACUGGGAUAACUUCGGGAAACCGGAGCUAAUACCGGAUAAUAUAUUGAACCGCAUGGUUCAAUAGUGAAAGACGGUUUUGCUGUCACUUAUAGAUGGAUCCGCGCUGCAUUAGCUAGUUGGUAAGGUAACAGCUUACCAAGGCAACGAUGCGUAGCCGACCUGAGAGGGUGAUCGGCCACACUGGAACUGAGACACGGUCCAGACUCCUACGGGAGGCAGCAGUAGGGAAUCUUCCGCAAAGGGCGAAAGCCUGACGGAGCAACACCGCGUGAGUGAUGAAGGUCUUCGGAUCGUAAAACUCUGUUAUUAGGGAAGAACAAAUGUGUAAGUAACUAUGCACGUCUUGACGGUACCUAAUCAGAAAGCCACGGCUAACUACGUG
This 497-nucleotide ribosomal RNA is filed under the name uncultured bacterium. Its description in RNAcentral is "partial 16S ribosomal RNA". It matches the Rfam family "Bacterial small subunit ribosomal RNA", at positions 28 to 507 of the family's 1533-position model. The record is from RNAcentral.